Long non-coding RNA from Neofelis nebulosa (Clouded leopard), 3457 nucleotides. RefSeq lists it as uncharacterized. The transcript is spliced from 2 exons. NCBI's taxonomy places the organism in Eukaryota, Metazoa, Chordata, Mammalia, Carnivora, Felidae. The record is from RefSeq and is a predicted model, not a curated record.
UGGAGCUAGGUCAAGGAUAUUUGCAUUUUUAAAGUUGGGUUAACAUCUGCAAGGUGUGUCACUGGCUCUUGAUAAGAGAAUCAAAGGGAAUUGGGUUAACCCACUCCUAACCCCUUUGCCCAGUUACUGCCAGCCCCACCAGCAGCCCUGCCCGGCUCCCGUUCCUCUUGUAGGCGGGGAGAGGGAUCACUAUCUCGCCCCUGCAGGGCUGGGCCCUCCACACUGACCCAGCCUCAGGCCAUCCUUCAUCCUCAGGAGCAAGACCUCAGGAGCUGCCUGAAAAUGGCUCUUUAUCUGGUUCAGUCCUCACCGGGACUUUAUUCUGUGCCUCUGGCCACUUGUUGCAAGAGCAAAUGUGUCCCAUACAGCACUGGGUGUGUUGCCACUGUCGGAGAAACCAGGAGAAUUCGGGGGCGAGAACAGCUAGGGGCCCGAGAAGUGAGCCUCCAACUGUGGGCCGGGCAGUGGGGCAUGUGGCAGUCAGGCGGGGUUCUGGGAUGCAGGCCUCCGCCUUCCGUGCAAGGCCCUGAAGAAUGUGCCCGCCUCAGACACAACAUCCCAGUUCAGUCCGCAUUAUGAGUCACCGCUGCGUGUCAGCUACCACCUGGGCAUUUGAACCACAGCAGCAAACACACAGGCAAAGACUUCUGCCCUCGAGGAGCUUGCGUUCUAUCGGGGAAGACAGAAAACAGACAGCAGAAAGGCCCACACAGGCAAUGAUAGGAGAGGUCAGAAGGGGGAUACGCGGUGGAGAAGAACUGAAAUAGAGUGCUGUGCUCAGGAGCCCCAGGCCAGAGACGCAGGAGGCAGUCUGGAACAGGCCACUGGGAGUGAGGCUUGUUGAAGUGACAGCAGUCUUUCUAGGGGAAGGGAAGAGGAGAGGGUGCAAAUGCCCUGAGGCAGCCGGCCUGUGGUAGCUAAGAAAGCAAGGAAGUUAGUGUGGCCACAGCAACACAGGGAGAGUCAAAGGAGAGGGGCAAGGUUGUAUAAGGUGGAAGCCAGGAGAGCACUUGGAGACUCUGUAAGAUGGAUGAAGGUGUCUGAGGCAGGGGAGCGGCCGCGGCGUGAAUCCAGCAGGACACACAGCGGGACCAAGAGCUUAGCCCAGGCCAGGCUCUAUUCCAAGAGCUUUGCCAGUAUUAAUUCACUUAAUGCUCACAUAGCCUUAUACAGCAUGUGCACUCAUGGUCCCGUCCUAUAGGUAAGGAUGCUGAGGCACAGAGAUGUGAAGGAACUCACCCCCGGUCACACAGCUGAAAGAUGGCAGAGUCUGGAUUUGAAGGCAAGUCAUCUGAAGCCAGAGCGCAGGCUCUUGAAGAGCCAUAAGUUUGGGACAAAAAAAAGUCACAACCUUCAUCCUGAGGGAGGACAUCUGUAAAGAAAAUAGAAGACUGAGUCCUCAUCAGAGAUGGGAAGCAACAGAGGCCCAGAAGGCCCUUGGCUUCUAUGCUGCAACUAUCUGUCUUGCCCUGAAGAGGAACUCCCGUGUCAGUCCACAGGCCUCCGAGCUUCUGACUCCCGCGUUCUGGAUGCCUGUCAACCACAUCUCCCGUUUUCGCACAUCCAGCCAUUAUUCCAGUAUUACCGCCUGGACUUUGUUGAUUUUUCUUUUUAUCUUCCUUGUCCACGUGCAACAGAUUUGAGGCCUUCUUCAUCUCAUCAAAUAACGAAAUCAGCCAUUUUCUGAUAUUUACUUCUCUUUCAAGUAAGAUAUUUAUCCCAAGGGGGGAACCAUUUUUUUUCCCCUGCUCUCAUUGAAAUUCAUCAAAACUUUGGAACGAUGCUAUGCCUUGGGAUCGGCCUUUCCAGGUGACUUCAUCUGUAUUCGUGCCUUGUCUGCCGUCUUUUUGCCAGUGACUUGUAAAUUUCCGUCUCCUGCUGGGACCUCUCCCCUGAAUUCCCAUCUUUUGCACCCAGCCACCUGUUUGUAGCUCCACAUGAAUGUCUCUGAAACACCACCAACCCUCGGUGAUUGCUCUCCCUUGACCCCAGCAGGCUCACCCCUACUAUCUGUGGAACCCGGGGUGAGAGGGAAACAGAGGCGCCGUCUACCUGCUUCUCCUCCUGUCCCAGAUCCGUCCAGAGCUUCAGGGCUAGCACACACGUGCAUGAACACUGGGGCCCACGCUCUGUCCACACCCACAUCCACAUCCACAAACAGCACCCUUGCUUUUCCUGGGCCUCAGGGCGCACACUCCUGUGAUGCACCCUCCCUCCUGGAGGGGCAGGUCUGGGGCCAGGCUCCAAGUCAUCUGGGCGGGGAACUCUGAGGUCCAGAUCCUGAAGAGUCACCCCAACACCCUCUUCCUGGCCCCACAGCCGACCAUCUACCCGGUCCUCUAGAUUUUCUUUCAGCCUCUCCCUCCCUAGUCCCUGGGUUUGUCCAUACCACCUCCCUCUCAUCCAGAGGCCAGAGCCACGGCUCUUCCCACAUGUGCUCUUGUCUGCUCCAAUCCAUCCCAACUUUUGAAAGAUGUUAAUGAGCUGAAGUCCCCAGGUGAGUGGUCUCCCCUUGCACAACACAGACUCCAUCCACCCCCUGCGGCCACCCCACACCCCCCCUUGCUCUCAAGGUCAGCCCAUUGACCACGGCAAGUGCGACGUCAUCCCUCCGGGUCUCCCGUCCAGACGUAGAGCUGCCUCUCCAUCCCUUGAGUCUGGGCUGGCCUGUGACUCACCUUGGUCCACAGAACGUGGCAGCAGUGAGGUUGUGCCCCUCUGAGCCUGGGCUUCCUAAGGCCCUGCAGCUCCCACCCACACCCCUGCCCGGCUUUGGCGGGACAGGCCCCGGCUGGCCCACAGGGGAGCAGGGAGGAGCCCUCUCACACCCAGGACCUCCGAGGCCCCCAGCUCCAACAACCUGCCCGCUGACCUCAGACAUGCAAGCAAGCCCUGCCGGGCCCAGGUGGAGAGUCACAGAAUCACAAGCAAAUUCAGUGGCUGUUGUUUUAAGCACUACAUUUUGGGGCCGUUUGUUAUAGGGCAAAAGCUGACGGAAACUUCCACGUAGUUCUUUGAGCUCCCCGGGGCCUUCCUGACCUCUGGCCUUUCACGUGGGUCACUGCCCCUCUGGGUCCUGCUUCAUCCUGAUUUGCUGGCUCGGCUCUGCCUCAGCCUUCCGACUUGGGCUUUCCCGCUGUCCCUGUCCCCAACCCCUCUGCUCCUCAGAGCCCCAUCAUCCCUGCCACCUCUCUGCCCUCCUCCUCCCCGCCUCAGCUUCACCCUCUCCAGCUCACAUGGACCCUGGAGGGGCCUCCCUCUAGUGCUUCUCCUGUCCACGAAGCCCUUUGCUCACUCCCUGUGACAGUCAUCAUCUGAUUCACAUCUCUCUGCCCUAAGGGGCCAUGAGCUCCAUGUGGACAGAGACCACCGCAGACCUCCAGUUCCUGCCACGUGCCCGGCAGAUAGUAGGAGCUCAGUACACGUUUGCUGGGUGAAUAAAUGACUGAACAAAUGA